GCAAACUUGGUCAUUUAGAGGAAGUAAAAGUCGUAACAAGGUCUCCGUUGGUGAACCAGCGGAGGGAUCAUUACCGAGUUUACAACUCCCAAACCCCUGUGAACUAUACCAUUUGUUGCCUCGGCGGCGUUCCGCUUCACGGCGGGCCCGCCAGAGGACCCAAACUCUUGUAUUUGAAUUGAGUCUUCUCUGAGUGAUACAAGCAAUAAAUUAAAACUUUCAACAACGGAUCUCUUGGUUCUGGCAUCGAUGAAGAACGCAGC
This 263-nucleotide unclassified non-coding RNA is filed under the name uncultured fungus. RNAcentral's name for it is "partial contains small subunit ribosomal RNA, internal transcribed spacer 1, and 5.8S ribosomal RNA". The stretch from base 1 to 73 matches the Rfam family "Eukaryotic small subunit ribosomal RNA", at positions 1759 to 1831 of the family's 1831-position model. The record is from RNAcentral. Lineage: Eukaryota; Fungi.